This 309-nucleotide ribosomal RNA is filed under the name uncultured fungus. RNAcentral's name for it is "SSU rRNA". It matches the Rfam family "Eukaryotic small subunit ribosomal RNA", at positions 39 to 352 of the family's 1831-position model. The record is from RNAcentral. Lineage: Eukaryota; Fungi.
AAAGAUUAAGCCAUGCAUGUCUAAGUAUAAGCAAUUAUACAGCGAAACUGCGAAUGGCUCAUUAAAUCAGUUAUCGUUUAUUUGAUAGUACCUUACUACAUGGAUAACCGUGGUAAUUCUAGAGCUAAUACAUGCUAAAAAUCCCGACUUCGGAAGGGAUGUAUUUAUUAGAUUAAAAACCAAUGCCCUUCGGGGCUCUCUGGUGAUUCAUAAUAACUUCUCGAAUCGCACAGCCUUGCGCUGGCGAUGGUUCAUUCAAAUUUCUGCCCUAUCAACUUUCGACGGCUGGGUCUUGGCCAGCCAUGGUGA